CAACAAACUAGUAAAUUUAUUUAUUCUUUAAAGAUGUUUAUUUGUAUAAUUAAAAUAAAUUUAUCGAUUAUUUGUGACAUGAACGAUAACCUUUUCUGGCUUCGUCGUAGCCAUGACAUAUUUUAAUUUCUAUUCUUACUUAUCAUAUGACAUUAAUCAACCAUCCAUGCGAUCAAAAUCACAUGAACAUAAAAAAUUAGAGUAUUAUAAGAUGAUAAAUAGAUCAGCAACAAAUUAAAAAGCAGUUCUCAGCUGACUCUACUGUGACUACUCUAGUUAAUAAUUAUUUUGUGAGUAUCAAUAAAAUGUCUAAAUCAAUUUUUAUCAUUUUUAUAAUUAUUGGACUCGCUAGUGUGACUCUAGCGCAACAAGUAACAAUCAAAGGCGGCUGUCUAAAUGCUUGGUGCCAUGGAAUAGCAGGGUAUAAAUGCUGCUCAGGGUUCGCAUGUACCUCAUACUUUUCUCAAGGAAAAUGUCUGUAUAAUGGACCAGAAUGUUAUCCUGGAUAAUUAAAUAUAUGACCUGUCAAUAAUUCUAUUAAAUAAAUUUUAAAUUUUGAAAAUUCAAAGAUCAAGAA
Microplitis mediator is the source of this 577-nucleotide long non-coding RNA. RefSeq lists it as uncharacterized. The transcript is spliced from 2 exons. NCBI's taxonomy places the organism in Eukaryota, Metazoa, Arthropoda, Insecta, Hymenoptera, Braconidae. The record is from RefSeq and is a predicted model, not a curated record.